Molecule: long non-coding RNA, 1673 nt
Organism: Hypanus sabinus (Atlantic stingray)
Lineage: Eukaryota; Metazoa; Chordata; Chondrichthyes; Myliobatiformes; Dasyatidae
Exons: 3
Source: RefSeq, a predicted model, not a curated record
UUUCCUGGUGGGUGUGGGGAGGGAAAUGUAAUUCACAGCAGCCAAAGCUCCACUGGGGGAGAGACGAUGAGCAAGAGACUACAGAAACACCAGGGAUUUCUUAAUUUAAGUACUUGUGCUUAAAUAGACCGGUAUAAACCAGCUAGGAAAUUGAAGACUUCCUGCUGAAUAUGUAUCGUGGACAGGAGGUGAAUGUCGCAGCAAUCAAAGUGAUGUCUUGGGAGGAAUAAUUAAGCAUUUUCCGCUCCCAGACAAUGCACAAUUCACAGUGAAGAUGACAGCUAUUUUCUGCCAGGAAAUUCUCAAUUCCUUCAUGAAACCUCCCCCUUUAUUAACUAAGGAGGUGGCCCGGUAGCACAAUGCCAGUGACUGGGAGGCAAUUCUGCUGCUGUCUGUGAGGAGUCUGCACGUUAUCCCCCUUGACCAUGAGGGUUUCUCUGGUUUUUUCCCACAUUCCGAAGACGUGUGGGUUAAUUAGUUGUGUGUGUAGUUAGGUGGUGAGGGCUCAUUGGGCCCAAAGAUCCUGUUACCAUGUUGUAUCUUUAAAUCAACUUCAGUAAGACAAAGGAGGUGGUGAUGGACUUUAGGAAGACUAAGCCUGCACUGCUCCCUCUUACUGUUACCAUUCAUGGUGAGGACCUACAAGUACCCGAGGGUGCACCUGUGUGACAGAUUUGAGUGGGACACCAACACAGGCUGUGUACAAGAAGGACUGGAGUCAGCUCUACUUCCUGAGGAGAAUGAGGUCCUUUGGAGUGUGCAGGCCUCUCCUUCACCUGUUCUACCUGUCUGUUGUCACCAGUACAAUCUUCUGUGCAGUGGUGUGCUGGGACAAUGGCAUCAACUCGGGUGAUGCCAACAGGCUAAGUAAACUGACUAGAAAGGCUGGCUCUGUUAUAGGAGUCAAACUGGACACACAGGAGGCUGUGGUAGAACAAAGGACCCUAUGGAAAAUCCUGGCAAUUCUGGACGUUUCUCACUGUCUGCAUGCCACAUUGGUUGAACAGAGGAGCACCUUUAGUAAUAGACUGAGACAACUGCGCUGCUCUGAAGAGCGCGAAAUGAGGUCAUUCUUACCCUCGGCCAAGAGGCUCUAUAAUGAGUCAACCUAAAGCUGGGGAAGUGACGAUCCCUUCUGUUAGACUGUUUGAGGAUGUCCCUAGGACUGAGGUUCCGCUGGGCUCACAGCUCAUUCCUAUGCCUGACACCAAAGACCUGAAAUAGAGGCUCUACUAUGGGAGGAGAUCAUCUGAGAGACAGAGGAAAUGAUUCAAUGAAGGCCCAUAUCCUCUCAAAGUGGAGAAGGAGCAACUUUCAAGGACAUCUUCAAGGAGUGAUGCCUCAAAAAGGCUGCAUCCAUCAUUAUGGACUCCCUGGAAUCACUCAGGUCAUGCCCUGUUCUCAUUGCUGCCAUCAGGGAGGAGGUACAGAAGUCUGAAGGAAAAACACUAAAUGAUUCAAGUACAGCUUUUUCCCCGCUGUCAUCAGAUUUCUGAAUGGACAUUGAAACACAUGAAAAAUAUCCUCUCUACUUUUUUGCACUACCUAUUUAACUAUUUAAUACAUAUACUUAGCAUAAUUCACAGGUUUUUCUCCAUAAUUAUGUAUUGUAAUGUAAUAUUGCUGCAAAGACAACAAAUUUCAUGACAUGUGCUGGUGAAAUUAAACCUGAU